RNAcentral lists this small RNA (97 nucleotides) under Drosophila erecta. Its description in RNAcentral is "GG27263". Lineage: Eukaryota; Metazoa; Arthropoda; Insecta; Diptera; Drosophilidae. The record is from RNAcentral.
AUUUGUGUUAGGUGAGAGCAAUGGAGCAAUGGUUGAUGGAGUAGAGCACAAGAGUUGGCAUUUGAAUAAUUUAAUUUUAACUACAACUAAUCGAAAA